GUUCUUGCCUGGAGAAUCCCAGGGACGGGGGAGCCUGGUGGGCUGCCGUCUAUGGGGUCACACAGAGUCAGACACGACUGAAGUAACUUAGCAGCAGCCUUGCCCUGACCCCCUACUGGGAGUGAAGCGUGCCCCAAGUCCUGCCCUCCAUCCCUCUCCAUCAGCUAUCUGCAUGCUGUGGGGUGUUGCUUCAAGAGCUUGCUUCAGGCGUGUAAGCUGCUCCAUCCAUUAAACCAUUGUCUGUAUUGGUGACAUCGGGCUCUCUCUUAGGUCUUGAAGCCCAACAAACACAGACCUUGUAGGCCUGUAGGUGCAAACCUCUUGUUGUUUAGUUGCUCAGUCAUGUCUGACUUUUUUCCAGCCCUAUGGACUAUAACCUGGCAGGCUCCCCUGUCUAUGGGAUUUCCCAGGCAAGAAUAUUGGAAUGGGUUGCCAUUUCCUUCUCCAGGGGCAUCUUCCCAACUGAAGAAUCGAACCUGAGUCUCUUGCAUUGGCAGGGGGAUUCUUUACCACUGAUCCACUAGGGAAGCCCCCAACAGCCUCCAUCACCAAGUUAAACCAUUCUGACCCUAAAGGAACAGCUGUUACUCACUUGCCUCUGUUGGCUAUUGCUGAGUAACAAGCUGCCCCAAAUUUAGCUUAAAACAAUAAGCAUUUCCUAUUGCUUAUGGUCUGUGCAUCGGCUGGUAACCUUCUGGGCUUAGCUUGGCUGACUCACGUGACCUUGAUCAGCUUUGGGCUGGGUGUGCAGCCCCGCUGAUCUUAGCUGGGCUUUCACAGACUUUGUUGGAAUACCUGGUGACUCCUUCACAUUGUCCUAUCCUUUUGCAGGCUAGUCCAGUUUAUUUUCAUGGUCACGGAGGGAUGCAGAAGAAAAGAGUGGAAAUAUGUAAGGCCUCUUGGGGGCCAGGCUUGGAAUGAGGCCACCAUCCUGUCUGUUGUUUUCUGUUAGUCAAAGUGCAGGUUUCAGAUUGUGAUGGGAAGAGCCACAAAUUACAUUGGAGGGAGCAUGGAGACUCAGAAAGCAUUAAUUAUGCCAUCAGUAUAAUCAGCCUACCGUACUCCACAGGUAGAAAGCUGCCCAAAGCUGCCACACUAUUUUACAGGGUGCAGAGGCCUUCAAAUCCCAAAUGCAGCUGUAACUGGAAUCCUACCAGAGCACCCCAUCCUGGCUUAUGUCUGUCCUCCGUUCCUACUGCCAUCGUGGGGUGGUCACUGUUGUGAAUAGCUUAUAAGCAUGAUGCCUCGAAGUCCAUAGUUGCUGAUUUAUUUAUUUAUUUUAAAUUUUUUAUUUAUUUAUAUGUUUUGGCCACACCAUGAGUGGCAUGUGGGAUCUUAGAUUGACCCCACAGUAGCCUCCAGGGAUUGAACCCAUACCGCCCACAUUAAAGCGUGGAGUCUUAACCACUAGAUUGCCUGGAAGUCCCAGUAAUUGCUAAUUUGAAGAAUUAGCUCAAAAUGGAAGCCCUCACACAGCAAUCAGUUCACCCCUUUGGAGGUAGCGUGGUUACGUUUGGAGUCAUAAGGAUCAAGCUCAGAUCUCUGUGAAAUAUUCCUGGAAGUGUAACUUUGAGUAAGCUGAAUAGACUUUGUGAGCUUCAAUUUUCCAUAUGUAAAUGGGGAGCAUAUCCCUUCCAUAUGUAAAAUGGAAAUAUUGAGUAAAUUAAGCACCACCGUAUCUUCCAGAAGCAGCCAGCACAGUGCCCAAGCUAUACACUUGGGUUUCAUCCAGUCCAGUAUUUCACAUGAUGUACUAUGAUGAUGGAAACUGAGAAGUCCCAGAGCUGCCUAGUGUCUGCAAGCUUGAGGCCCAGGGAAGCUGGUGGUGUGAUUCCUCUCCAAACCUGGAUGCCGGAGAACGAGAGGAGCCAACGGCAUCAGUCCCAGUCUGGGUCCGAAGGCCUGCGGACUGAUGUGUGACCAGAGGCGUCUGGGUCUCCUUGGAGUAGGACACUACCUCCCUGGGCAGGAAAUCCGCUUUGGUAAACUUCGACAGGCCUAGCUUAUGCAGUCUUCUUGUGUUAAUGGUCCCAAGUCUCCUGAGUCUAGGCUUCCAGCUUCACUGGGAAUGAUCACUGAUUUCGAGGAUACAGAUGCAGGGAUUUGGAUCAGAGGGGGCUCCAGACAGAUUCCAUACUUUUUAGCAGGGCCUCUGUCUCUCACUGUUUGCAAUCCAGGUCAGAGUCAUCCUGAAUUGGUUCUUUCUUCUCCUGCAUAUCAGCCUCUUGUUUCUCUCUCCUCUUUCUUCAUUUUCUAAUCGUCCCUUAGCUGUGCUCAGAGCUGCUUUUUGCGCUGAACUUCAGCUUUUCACUCACCUUUGUUAGACAUCUGUUUCCAAGUUCUCCACACCAAGUCCUUCCUCUCCUGGUCCUCUGAAAACAGACACUCCUCACCAGUCAACCACACACAGGCACCUCCUCCCCACUCUUCUUCACCUUCUCUUUCAGCAGCAGCACUUCCUGGCAGGUCCUGAAGAGACUGGGCUCCUGUCAGAGUGAAUGGAACCCCACGACAUCCAAAAUCUGAAGCCCUGGUGGGUCCUGAGGGGAGCCAGCUCCCAUUAGUGUGGACUUGAUAAUCCCCCACCCCCGCCCAUGUUCUGGAAGCCAAAGCAGGUUCUGGAGAUGGGGCUCCCGUCAGCUGUCAAGACAUCAUUUCUUAAAGUUUGCUUGUGGUGUAGAAUCUGAGAAAAUGUCAAUGAGUUUUUUCUCUGUAACUCAAAAUUGAUUGGUCCAUCUUGUACCUUGAAUGGUUCUUUUAUCCAUACAUGAUUCUGUAGCAUCAUGCAUGGAUCAUUUGGAAAAUACUGGGUCACUUAAGUUACACAGCUCUUCCAAAUGUUGACACAUAUUGUUAUACAAUAUUUUUAAAAACACUAUUGUUUAUGUCACUGUCCAUCUCCUCAGAAAAAUCUUUAUAUAUUUGAAAUUUGUCAAGGUCAUAGUAGUGGGUAGAAGUUUCCCAAAAUUCCAAUGUUUGCUUGAGAGGUCAAUUUUCUUUCUUUCUUCUUUUUUUCUUUUUGACUGCACCACACAGCAUUCAGGAUCUUAGUCCCCAGACCUAGGAUGGAAUCUGCGCCCUGUGCAGCCAAGUGUGGAGUCUUAACCCCUGGACCACUAGGGAAGUCCCUCAAAUGUUUACUGUUAAUAACAAAUACUGUCAGUUUUCCUUGGAGUGACAGGCUUACUGGAUUUGUGGUUGAGAAAUGUCCACCAACCAGUUUCUCUCUCAUUCUUUUAAGUAAAGGUGGUGUUCCUGAAGAAAGCAGCUAGUUCAGCUUGAAACUCAAUCAUACAAGUACUUUUCCUUGAGGCUACCUUAGGAUAGAAGUGCUUCAUGUGCCCUAUUUUGAUGCAAAGCUUAUUAAAAAGAUGGGUUGAGAUUUAAUAAAAUUGCUAUUUUUAA
This is a long non-coding RNA of Bubalus bubalis (water buffalo), 3405 nucleotides long. RefSeq lists it as uncharacterized. NCBI's taxonomy places the organism in Eukaryota, Metazoa, Chordata, Mammalia, Artiodactyla, Bovidae. The transcript is spliced from 2 exons. The record is from RefSeq and is a predicted model, not a curated record.